Molecule: long non-coding RNA, 1998 nt
Organism: Papio anubis (olive baboon)
Lineage: Eukaryota; Metazoa; Chordata; Mammalia; Primates; Cercopithecidae
Source: Ensembl
UCUGAGAAUUUGUGUCUCUUUAUCGAGGGAUCUUUCAGGCUAGCAUUUGACACCACUGUUUUUGCAGUAGCUUGUGUGGACUUGCCCCGGGGCAAGAGGACAAACUGAAUGGUUCCCAGAGGACCCUAUCUGGCAUUUAAUGAUGCCAUUAUAGUUGCAAGAGAAUUGAAUGUAUUUACCCAAUGCUCAGUGGGGAAAAUAAUAACAGCAGAUAUUUAGCUGAUGAUGACAUACAGCUCCUCUGGAGAGCUGUGAGAACCUAUUGAUUCUCACUUCAUAAAAUGCUUAUUUGAAAACUGGUAUCUGUGAGAGUUUUCCAAGUGCUGUUCCACUAAUGUGGUUUUUCUCAGAGCACCCAACUAAAAAGUGGAAAAUAUUUUGUCCUAUGUCUGUAUAUCCCCAAAUAUCUAGAAGUUUUGAGUUGAUUAGACUAGAUGUUUGGAUAGUAGGUUGAAUUUUCCACCAUUUGUCCAGUUAUUUUGGCUCUAAGUGUUCCAGCAUAAAUAUGUACAUGAAUUAUUUGUUGUCGUGUUUUUAAUGCAGGGCAAUGUCCUUGAUCUAAUUCUUUUAAAACCUGUCUUUUACAAUGGUCAGAGAAAAAUGUGAUAGGCACUUUUUGAUUAGUACUUUUCAAACUAUGUUUACCUCUGGUCUGGGAUUACUUUUUUUUUGUGGCAGACACAUAUUGAGAUGCAGAGCAUGUUGGGAUAAGUCUUAGGAGGAUGCUUGUCUAGGAAGUCAGUUGACAUACCAUGAAAUGAAAAAUUUAAGAUAAACGUUCAUGGCUAGAGCCAAGUAACUGAGUUUCCUCUGUUUUCUGUCUCAGUCUCUUUCUCUUUUGCCUGUCUCUUUUUAGUUGUCACGCCUCAGCAUUGGAUCAAAACAAGAGAGAAAUAAAUACACAAUUAGAGUCUUUGCUCCUUUGUACAGUGCUGUUGCUGAGAUGGAGUCUUGAUCUGUCGCUCAGACUGGAGUGCAGUGGUGUGUUCUCGGCUCACAGCAACCUCCACUACCUGGGUUUAAGCGACUCUCCUGCCUCAGCUUCCAGAGUAGCUGGGACUACAGGUGAAAAUACUGUCUUUAGGAGGAAUUAUUUUCUAGUACUACCUUACCUUUUGAUAACAUUUAAAACAUUAUUAUCAUUAUUAUUUUAAAAAAUGAGCCUUGGCUGUAAAGCUCUGAGUGAGUGCUCUUCGUUGCCAGUUGAGGGAAGCAUUUGGGAAAGUGAAUACUUGAUUUCUUGGGGCUUCUAUUUCCUAUCUGUAAAAUGGUGGUAAUAAUAUCCACCUCAUGAAUUACUGGAGUGUUCGAUUGCUGUCUGAACUUCAACUGAAAAACAUCUUCCUCCAUAAUUAGAAUAUCACAACAUUUUCAUCCUAGACAGAAAGAAGUCUUUGUCAUUUGAUUUCAUUUGCAACAUCUCCAUCCUCUUAGGUACUGUCUCUUUACCCUGACAAUCCAAACUGGUUUAGUUAGACAUAAAAAUGUCUCUGAAGGCCGUGGGAUCAUUUAUGUCAAGGCUUAAUUAAAUGACAAGUUCAAUUCCAACAAUACUGAUUUACUUGCUGUGGAAAAGUGCCAAACCUACAGUCGGUUUAAUUGAACUUAAGUGAUACCCUGUUUAUUCACCACCUACCAAAUGGCACUGUGUGUGUGUGCGCACACACACACACACGUGCACAUGCAUGCAUAAGUAUACAUACUUUAAAAACGAUACAAAUGUAGCAUAUCAAUACAUAUAUAGGUCAAUUGAGUGCAUAAUUUUCAUGCAUGCUCCUAGAAUUUUAUACCACUGUUUCCACCUCAAACUGUGGGUGGCAGCAGAGACUUGGGAAAUAUCUUCUGUGCAACUCAGAUGACUUUCCGGGGCUAUUAAGGGCAAGGAAAUGAUAGCACUAAGUGAUGAGAAAGUUGGAUGUUCAUUUAUGAACUACAAUUGACAUUCCUUUAUCAUUUCCUAUCUCAUUCGUGUGGUCAAAGAUGGCGAAAGAGGCCUGU